UACGAAGGGGGCUAGCGUUGUUCGGAUUUACUGGGCGUGAAGCGCACGUAGGCGGAUCGAUCAGUCAGGGGUGAAAUCCCAGAGCUCAACUCUGGAACUGCCUUUGAUACUGUCGAUCUGGAGUAUGGAAGAGGUGAGUGGAACUGCGAGUGUAGAGGUGAAAUUCGUAGAUAUCGAGAGGAACACCGGUGGCGAAGGCGGCGAUCUGGACGAUGACUGACGCUGAGACGCGAAAGCGUGGGGAGCAAACAGG
RNAcentral lists this ribosomal RNA (253 nucleotides) under uncultured bacterium. RNAcentral's name for it is "partial 16S ribosomal RNA". It matches the Rfam family "Bacterial small subunit ribosomal RNA", at positions 524 to 776 of the family's 1533-position model. The record is from RNAcentral.